GGGGGCAUAGCUCAGUUGGGAGAGCACCUGCCUUGCAAGCAGGGGGUCGAGAGUUCGAAUCUCUCUGUCUCCA
This 73-nucleotide transfer RNA is filed under the name Roseburia intestinalis. Its description in RNAcentral is "tRNA-Ala". It matches the Rfam family "tRNA". From Rfam's summary of the family: Transfer RNA (tRNA) molecules are approximately 80 nucleotides in length. Their secondary structure includes four short double-helical elements and three loops (D, anti-codon, and T loops). RNAcentral also lists the same sequence under 10 other names. Lineage: Bacteria; Bacillati; Bacillota; Clostridia; Lachnospirales; Lachnospiraceae. The record is from RNAcentral.